This 677-nucleotide long non-coding RNA is filed under the name Marmota monax (woodchuck). Lineage: Eukaryota; Metazoa; Chordata; Mammalia; Rodentia; Sciuridae. The record is from RNAcentral.
UUUGUAUUUAAAUAUUAAAAAUGAUUCCAACUCAAAAAAAGAAAAAAGGCAAACUACCCACUAUACAACCAUGGAGUUGCCUGUCUACACUUACAGAAGUUGUUCAAACCAAAGAAGUUUACUGUAGAAUAGAUAUGGGUCCUUUUGAGAGGCCAAAACGAUGAUGAGGAUUCCAUAUGACUGGCAAAUCCAGGGGAACGCCACCAAGGAAAAUAUGGAUGAAGCAACUUGAGGGCAGGAGCCACAUAUAUUUCAGUUCUUCAUUAUGUUGCCAGUGCUCAGCAUAGUAUGGGAAAUGGUGACAAGAAAUAGAAGUGGAGUGGGUUACUGCUUUAACUACUCUGGGAUUGCAGUACAAAUUCUUGCAGCCCAUGUGCCCUGAUUUAGAGAGAGCCUUAUAGAGCUGUGAAGGGACCAGAAAUAGAGCAGAUUCAUGGAGUCCUAGUUUUUUUUAGUGGAAGAACCAGCACUGGGAUUCACAUUGGUUUUUGUUUUAUGACUCGUAAAAACUGAAUGUAUUUUUAUAUUUUUGUAGUAUUUUUAAUUGUAUAUAUUCCUGGGGGUGUUGGGAAAUUAUUUUAUACAUGAAUACAGUGUGUAAUUAUCAAAUCAAGGUAAUUGGCAUUUCCAUCUCCUUAAAUAUUUAUCCUUUCUUUGUGUGGGGGCUUUCCAACUCC